Molecule: ribosomal RNA, 380 nt
Filed under: uncultured eukaryote
Lineage: Eukaryota
Description: partial 18S ribosomal RNA
Rfam family: Eukaryotic small subunit ribosomal RNA
Source: RNAcentral
CAAUAGCGUAUAUUAAAGUUGUUGCGGUUAAAAAGCUCGUAGUUGGAUUUCUGCCGAGGACGACCGGUCCGCCCUCUGGGUGUGUAUCUGGUUUGGCCUGGGCAUCUUCUUGGAGAACGUAGCUGCACUUGACUGUGUGGUGCGGUGUCCAGGACUUUUACUUUGAGGAAAUUAGAGUGUUUCAAGCAGGCACACGCCUUGAAUACAUUAGCAUGGAAUAAUAAGAUAGGACCUCGGUUCUAUUUUGUUGGUUUCUAGAGCUGAGGUAAUGAUUAAUAGGGAUAGUUGGGGGCAUUCGUAUUUAACUGUCAGAGGUGAAAUUCUUGGAUUUGUUAAAGACGGACCACUGCGAAAGCAUUUGCCAAGGAUGUUUUCAUUGA